UACGGAGGGAGCUAGCGUUGUUCGGAAUUACUGGGCGUAAAGCGCGCGUAGGUGGUUUGUUAAGUUGGAUGUGAAAGCCCCGGGCUCAACCUGGGAACUGCAUUCAAAACUGACAAGCUAGAGUAUGGUAGAGGGUGGUGGAAUUUCCUGUGUAGCGGUGAAAUGCGUAGAUAUAGGAAGGAACACCAGUGGCGAAGGCGACCACCUGGACUGAUACUGACACUGAGGUGCGAAAGCGUGGGGAGCAAACAGG
Molecule: ribosomal RNA, 253 nt
Filed under: uncultured bacterium
Lineage: Bacteria
Description: partial 16S ribosomal RNA
Rfam family: Bacterial small subunit ribosomal RNA
Source: RNAcentral